AUAAAGACAGUUUAAUAGGACAGAAAGGAAGAAAAUAAUAAUGAUAGUAAUAAUUAUUAUAAUAAAAUUACAAUAGUGAUAAUAAAAGGAUUGGGAUAUACAAAACAAGCAAUGCACAAUGCAAUUGCUCACCAACCGAUGCCCAGUUAGUUCCUGAGCAGCAUUCUGCACUCCCCAGGCCAACUUCCCCUAGUUUAUAUACUGGGCAUGACGUCACAUGGUAUGGAAUAUUCCUUUGGCCAGUUUGGGUCAGCUGUCCUGGCUGUGUCCCCUCCCAACUUCUUGUGCCCCUCCAGCCUUCUUGCUGGCUGGGCAUGAGAAGCUGAAAAAUCCUUGACUUAGUCUAAAAACUACUUAGCAAGAACUGAAAAUAUCAGUGUGUUAUCAACAUUAUUCUCAUACUAAAUCCAAAACAUAACACUGUACCAGCUACUAGGAAGAAAAUUAACUCUAUCCCAGCUGAAACCAGGACACUCACAAGUGGCGGGAUCGUAAUAGUCUGCCCCACAGUGACAGUCAAAACCCCUGACUUCAAACAGAACCACAUGUAAGAAAAUGGUCAUGAGUUGGACGAACGGGUCUCACAGGAUGUUUGUUCCCAAAUGUGAUGGAUUGUCACUGAAAAAUCCCAGCCUGGCCUGACAGUCAGUCAGACACAGAGUUCUGCACACAGUAGUUGUCAGUGAACCAUGAGGACCUUUCUGUCCUCACAGAGCAUGAAUCCCCAGAUAAAAUACAAGUUCUCUGGGUUUUGUCUUUCAGUCAUGGUAGCCAAGUGCAUUUGUUUUAGGAUUCAGAAGUAAAGCAUCAAGGUGAAAGAAAGGAAUGUUGUAUGGCCAAAGUAUAAGGUAGAUGAUUGUUAGGUAUGUCGCCUCUAGGCUUGCUUACCUUUCUCUUGCAUGGCUUCAAAUGGUCUUUCUGAAUUUGCAAGACUGUUUCUCAGCUUGUCCUGUUCUACACCUGCAUGUUAGAUAGGGGUUACCAAGCAUGCUGAGAUGAUUUGCGCCCUACUGAGGGACUUGGCCAGAGAAUUGCAUCAUGGUCCUGCUGUCAUCUCCUGUUCCUCUGCAUCUGCCCCACCUGCCUUCUGUGUAUGGGGCUCCAGGUGCUGACUGAAGACCGUGAAUAUUUUUGCUGUUUCCUCACCAACAAAUUUUCUGUUCUAGAAAGAUGGCAAAACAGAACAUUGAAUUCACCGAGACAAUUUCAGAAAGAACUGCAAUUUACGUCUUAACCAGCAGAUGUUGCUGUUAGACCAAAAAACGACUCAAGGUCAGUUCAGGUGGGUUAGGACUGUAUUUCAGAGAGUUUCAACAGUUCCGGUAUUUUAUCCAGCAUCUCCAGAUCUGGUCCCUUGAGAUUGGGAGACCCCCUUUUACAGCCAUGGACAUGCAACACUAGGUGACUGUGCUGAGACACAGACCUCUGAGUGAAUCUGACUCCAAGCAAAAAACCAACACCACCGCCACCACAAUCACAACCUCCCUCAGUCUUGUGAUUAAGUGGGUUAUUGGCUGUCAGAGUUUUUAAUAAAUUUUUUAUAAAUACUGGAAAGCUUCACUUCAUAUACAGUAUUUGUCUCGCUAUUGAUGAAUGUGGGGUUAUUCAUCAAGUCUUACAUAAAAUAGCACGCUUGUCAAUGUUGCUAAGAUGCGUGUCGAAGAUAAAAGUUAUUGACAUUUUAGAAAGAAAAUGUGUGUUUAAUGCUGUGCUGACUGUACUAUUGGGAAAACCCUGAGGUUUUCUGUCGCCCUGUGGUUACGGAAUAGGUCAGUUUUCACAAUUAAACUUGCAACGUUAAGGUCUUUA
Harpia harpyja (harpy eagle) is the source of this 1809-nucleotide long non-coding RNA. RefSeq lists it as uncharacterized. Lineage: Eukaryota; Metazoa; Chordata; Aves; Accipitriformes; Accipitridae. The record is from RefSeq and is a predicted model, not a curated record. The transcript has 2 exons.